UUUUAAUUUUUUUUAAAUUUUUACUCAAACAAAAUUAUCUUCAUGGAUUUUUGUAUAGUAUUUUUAAACAACAAUCAAUAAUCAGAACAAAUAACAAAAAAUAAUUAAAAAUAUAGAAGAGACAGAGAGAUGGAGGGAGAAAAAAAGUCAAUUACAUAACUUCGAUAGCUGGCGGAAACACCAAAAAUCAAAGUCAUAUUUCUCAUUUAUUCAGCAAGAUAAAUAUGAUCAAUAUUUAUUAUUUUCAGUAACUUAUAUUAAACAAAUUUAGUUUUAUAAUGAAAGCAUAUUAUUUUUAUAUGAUUUUUAAAAAAAGAUUAUAUACUUACCGACGUAGGUACACGCGCAAAGCGCGUAUCCUAAGACUAGUUAAUUUUAAUACUUUAUAGAUUAUAUAUAUAUAUUAAAAUUUUAAAAGAAAUAUAAAAUUAGUAGGAAAAUAUAAAUGUCUAUCAUAAAUAUGCUAACAUGUGUAUUAACUAUACAAAUACUUGAAAAAGUAAAAGACGUAAAGAUAUAUUAUACCGAUAAUUAAAAUAGAACAAACUUAAAGUUAUAAAAGUAAUAUUCUAGUUCCUAAUAAUUCAAAUAGUAAAAAUAAAAAUAAUAUAAAGUUAUUGUUUUAAAACCUAAAACUAGAUAACGAAUCACAAAUACAAGCGUAGAAGCAAAGCAAGAAUUGGAGAACAAAACUCUUUUCUUUGUAGGUGGAGACAAAGGUUUAAUGUGUAUUUGUUAUUUAGUAGUAAAUGACAAAGAGUAAAGAUUAAAAAAUUGGGAUAAACAAUUAGAAAAUACCUUUGGCUUUUGAGAUAUUUAGUUGAAAAUAUACUACUAUGAGUUAACUUUUUGAUGUUUAAGUUAAUUAAAGAAGAUUUAUUAAGAAAUUUGGCUCAAAUUUGGAAAAGUUCCCGGGGCUUAUGCUAAAAAUGAACCUUAUGCCUAUGCGAACGACUGGAAUGUCUGGGCUUACACCACGAUACUUAUGCACUGUCAGUACGCUUCGGUGCUUUUAUUGUACGCCUCGCCCUCGGGCUCGAUCGCCCAUAAAACCUUUAAAAACACUGAUAUAAACAGAAUGAACUAAAUGUUUUGGGGGUAUCCAGAUAAGGAGAUCGAUUGAUAGUGUAACAUAAAUUGGUAAUCUAGCAAAUGAAAAAGAUUAGGAAAAAUGACACUGUAUAGCCGCUGUAAAAAUAAUAGCCGAACAAAAUCUAUAUAAUUUGUAUAUAAAUACAUUAUGUAUGUUAUAUACAAAAAUUAUACAAAUUUUAUACACUUUUUUAGCUAACUGAUGUAAAUAGUUUCUAGCGCGGGAGUGAUAUUACCCCAUGAAAAUAACCUUUAAUGAAUUGCAAUAUUAACCACAAUUUCAAUCGUAAACCAAAAUAAAAAUCAUGUAUAAGAGCUUCGCAUACAAAUGUCACUAAAGUAAUUGAAAGAUAGAAAUACAUAUAAAUGUGUCACGACCCAAUUUUCCCUCCAUGUGACGUUGUGACGGCACCUAGUCUCUACAACUAGGUAAGCCAAAAUCCGAAACAUUGUGAAUCACAAACUACAAAAAAAAAAAUCUAGUGUCUCUAUACAUCCGAGUCUAUCAAAAGAAAAUACAGAAGAUAAUGGACAUGGGAAAGAGUAAAAGGGGACUUCGAGGUUUGCGGACGCGGCAGAUAUACAUUGAAGUCUCCAAAACUGUCCCGGCUCACUGAUAGUGCGGCUGAUAAGGAGUACCUAGUUCUGCACACGAAAAACAUGUGCAGAAGUAGCAUGAGUACACUACAAUCGGUACCCAAUAAGUGCAAAGCCUAAUCUCGGUCGAGUAGUGACGAGAUCAGGUCAGGGCCUUACUGGUAUAUGUAUAUAUAUAAACUAAGACAGGAUGAAAUAUUACAGUAAAAAUAAGUACUAAAAAAAAUGUAACAAGAAUGAAAUCAUAGCAAGUCAACAGCUCAGUACACAGAAAUAACAAUAGGGGAUCUACCGAAAUACUGUUCCGUAGUCCAAAAGUAAAUAUGCAGAGCAGGGGGAUCUACCGGAAUACCGUUCCGUAGUCCCAAAGUAAAUUUACAGAGCAGGGGGAUCUACCGGAAUACCGUUCCAUAGUCACAAAGUAAAUAUGCUGCGCAAACAAUAGAAAUACAAUUAUAUCACAAAAUCUUACGAUUUAGACUAAGUACCAGUCAAGGAAGAAGCAAGAAAUUCACUAAGCAUGCUGCACAGAGUUCACAUAAGCAAUUAAGACACGUAGACAUGCUGUUCUAGACUAAACAGGAUAAAUUCAUAUGCUAGUGUAGCUCAGUUAAAGGAAGAUAUGUAUUUUACUUAAUGGAAACGGAGUUUUGCAACAAUAGCCUGUGUACGCAUUCGUCACCUCACGUACACGGCGCUCAUAUAUCAAAAACAGUACCAAAUCCUAAGGGGGAGUUCCCCCACACAAGGUUAGGCAAGCCACUUACCUCGAACCAAGCUCAAUCAAUCGGUAACAAUGCCUUUUCGACGAAUAUCCGACUUUGAAUGGCCCAAAUCUAGCCCAAAACAAUUGCAUAUCAUAAAUACAACUAUAAUAGGCUCAUCUAAUUAAUAAAAUCAAUACUUUAACAAAAAUUCUAAAAUUCUCCCUAAAAGGUUGACCCGGGCCCACGUCUCGAAAUCGGGUAAAAAUUACAAAAAUCCGAAAGCCCAUUCACUCACGAGUCCAACCAUACCAAAUUUAUCAAAAUCUGACCUCAAAUGACCACUCAAAAUCCCAAAUCAAACUCUUCAAAUCCUUAGUCUCCAACUCUCAAUUUUCGCCUUAAAUACACACUAACUAGGUGGAAAAUUAAAUGGGAAAGCAAGAUUAUUGAUCAAAAAUAAGUACAAGGGACUUACCUCAAGAAACCCCUCAAAAAUGCUCUCAAGAAAUCACCAAACCUGAGCUCAAAAUUUUGAAAAUGAGCAAAAAUCGCGAGCCUUUGCAUUUAAGUGUUUCUAUCCAGAUAUCUCGCACCUGCGGACUCUCUGUCGCAUCUGCAAUGCCGCACCUGUGAAAAUGCCAUCGCAGGUGUGGAUUCCACUUAGAAUCCCAGGUUUUGCUCCUGCGGCUAUGCUACCGUAUCUGCGACUAUCGCAUGUGCGGAAAUGCAUCGCACCUGCGGCUUCCCCUCACACCUGCGCCCAGCUGCCCGCAUCUGCGACUCUCGCAGGUGCGGGAAAAUCUUCGCACCUGCGGUUCCUGCCCUGCUCCUUCUUGGCCUCAUCUUGGGCUCCUCCUUCGCACAUGCGAUCCCGCACCUGCGGUCUCCCCUCCGCAUGUGCGAAUACACCAGAAACCAGAAAAUCUUCAGCAACUAGACUAAGUCCAAAUUCAAUCUGUUAAGCAUCUGAAACACACCCGAGGCCCCCGUGACCUCAACCAAACAUACCAACAAGUCCUAAAAUACCAUUCAAAUUUAGUCGAACCCUCAACCCACAUCAAACAACGCUAAAAUCACAAAUCAUCCUCCGAUUCAAACUUAAAGAACUUGAAACUUCCAAAUUCGACAACCGAUGCCGAAACCAACCAAACCACGUCCGAUUAACAUCAAAUUUUGCACACAAGUCAUAUUCAAUUUUACGGACCUAAUCCAACUUCCAGAAUCAGAAUCCGACCCGAUAUAAAAAAUUCCACUACCGGUCCAAAACUCCAAAAAUUCGAUUUUCCCCAUUUCAAGCUUAAAUGAGCUACAGACCUCCAAAACACAAUCCGAGCACGCUCCUGAGACCAAAAUCACCCAACGAAGCUAACAAAACCGACGAAACUCCAUUCUGGAAUCGUCUUCACACAAUUCCGACUAUGAUCAAAGUCCUAAGAUUUAAGCUCUCAUUUUAGGGACUAAGUGUCCCAAAACACUCUGAAACCAAAAACAAAACCUUCCGACAAGUCACAUAAGAAAAAAAAUGUACGGGGAAAAUAAUAAAUAGGGGAUCGGAGCUAUUAUUCUCAAAACGACCAGCCGGGUCGUUACAUCCUCCCUAUCUUAAAAUAAUCGUUCGUCCUCGAACGAGUAUAGAGACACGCCUGAAGUGGUGAAAAGAUGAGGAUAAUGGCUGCGCACAUCCUGCUCGGUCUCCCAAGUCGCCUCCUCGACCGGCUGACCUCUCCACUUAACCUUCACGGAAGCAAUGUUCUUUGACCUCAGCUUUCUGACCUGCCUAUCUAAAAUAGCCAUUGGCUCCUCAACAUAAGAUAGAUCCUUGUCUAAUUGGACUGAGCUGAAAUUCAACACAUGAGAUGAACAUGAAACAUGAAAUAACGGAUGAACUCCUGCUAGGUUGGGAGGUAAGGCAAUCUCAUAAGCAACCUCUCCAGCACGCCGCAUCACCUCGAAAGGACCAAUGAACCUUGGUGUCACGACCCGAAAUUCCCACUUUCGGACUGUGAUAUUGCCUAACAUUUCACUUGCUAGGAAAACGAACGUUAGAAUAAUAUUAACUAUUUUAAAACAAUUUUUAAAUUUAUUAAGAACAAAGAAAUAAAUGCGGAAGUAAGAUCUAAAAUAUAGUGAAUAAUCAAUAAAAAUAACGGUGUCUAAAUACCAUCCCAGAAUUGGUGUCACAAGUGCAUGAGCUUCUAGAAUAAUACAGAUAAAGGUCUGAAUAAAAUAAAGCUAUCUCGAAACAAACACACAGCUAAAGUAAAGUAGACGGGAACUUCAGAACUGCGGACGCCGUGCAGUUAUACCUCAAGUCUCCUCUGGUAGCUGAAAUCCGAGCAAGUCUAUGGUACGCCGCUGGGACCAACUCCGUAAUCUGCACAAGAUGUGCAGAGUAUAGUAUCAGUACAACCGACCCCAUGUACUGGUAAGUGCUGAGCCUAACCUCGACGAAGUAGUGACGAGGCUAAGGCGGGUCACUUACAUUAACCUGUACGCAAUAUUAGCAACAACAACAAAUAAUAAAAAUAAAUCAGGUAACUCAUUUAUAAAAGUUGAAGCCAACUCAACAAUCAUAACCAAUUAUUAAUUCAACCAAUUUCCGUUGCAGCGUGCAAAUCGCUCCCACAAUGUAUUCAUUUUCAAUCCUCCAAUAUAUUUAGUUUAAUCAAAAAUAUAUAUACAUAUAUAGACUUUUAAAUAAGUCUGUUGCGGCGUGCAAUCCGAUCCUCCAAUAUAGACUUUUAAUAAGUCUGUUGCGGCGUGCAACCCGAUUCUCCAAUAUGGACUUUUAAUAAGUCUGUUGCGGUAUGCAACCCGAUUCUCCAAUAUGGACUUUUAAUAAGUCUGUUGCGGCGUGCAACCUGAUCCUCCAAUAUGUUCAUUUACCAAUUCUUAUAGAAACAAUUGCCCCAAUAGAUGCAACAAUUAAUAUAAAAGUAUAAGACAACAAGCAUACAAUAAUUAUGAUUUAAUUAUGAAACAAACAAUGACAAAUAGCAAUUUAUUAUGGAAAUCAGGGAGAAAAUAGGCAGUUUAAUGUUUAAUAUGCUAAAUGUCUAGUAGAAAUUAAUGCACAUAAUUCAAAUAAGUAUAUAGCAAUUAUUACAGGAAUUCAAGAAUUAAUAUUUGACGAAGAAUAUGAGAGAAAUAAUUAUUACAAUAAUUAAUUCGUGUAUUAAAAUAAAUUUAGGAUUUUCAAAAACUUAUGCAAACAAUUAAUUUGACGACGUAUAGACACUCGUCACCUCGCCUAUACGUCGUUCACAUACAUUUCACAUAACAAAUAAUUUAAGGGUUCUAUUCCCUCAAGUCAAGGUUAACCACGACACUUACCUCGCUUUGCAAAUUCCAAUCAAUUACUCGACCACAACUUUUCCUUUUAAAUUUAUCUCCAAAAGCUUCAAAUUUAUUCACAAACAAUUCGAUAUACUCAAUACGAAUCAUAGGAAUUAAUUUCAUAUGAAUUUAAUAAUUUUCCGGAUAAAAAUCCGAAAUUCAUUUAAAUAUUUGACAGUGGGACCCACGUCUCAAAUCUCGGAAAAACUUACAAAAUCUGAACACCCAUUCCGAGACGAGUCCAACCAUAUAAAAUUUAUCAAAUUCCGAUGACAAACACACUUUCAAAUCUUAAAAUUUUUGUUUUUGGAAGAUUUUAUAAAAAUCUAAUUUUUCUUCCAUAAUUCACGGAUUCAUGAUAUAAAUGAAUAUGGAAUCAUGGAAUAUAAUCAAUAUAGGAUAAGGAAUACUUAACCCAAUUUUUUCCCGUAAAAAUCGCCCAAAAAUGCGCCUUACCGAGCUCAAAAUGACCAAAAUGAGUAAAAAUGACGACUUCCGAAUUUCAGGGCUAUGCCCAAUCUUUUUCGUAUCUGCGGACCAAAUUUCCGCAUCUGCGGACUCGCUUCUGCGAAGAUGAGUCCUCUUUUGUGCAAGGCUUCCCCUUUCCCCUUUCCCGUUUCUACGACGCGUGGGCUGCUUUUGCGGUCGCGCUUUUGCGACAGCCCAUCCGCUUUUGCGGACUGUCCGCUUCUGCGAGGCAUGGCUCGCUUCUACGAGCUCGCAUCUGCGGCCAAGACUUUGCAGAAGCGAAUGCACCAGAAGCAGCAAACUUUCAGAUUUUGUUUAAGUCCAAUUCUUGUUCCGAUUUCAAUUCGAAUCAUACUCGGGGUACUUGGGACUCCGUCCGAAUAUACCAACAAGUCUCAUAACAUAAUACGGACUUACUCGGGGUCUCAUAUCAUGUCAAACAACAUUGAAAUCAAAAUUCACACCUCGAUUCGAACUUUGAGUUUUAGACUUUUCAAUUUGCGAAUCUCGUGCCAAAACAUAUUAAAUGAAUCCGGAAUGACGGACUGUGCACGCAAGUCGAGGAGUGAUAAAUAGUGCUUUUUGAGGUCUUAGAACACAGAAUUAUUAAUUUUAAAGAUGAAAUUUUGGGUCAUCACAUUCUCCACAUGUCCGACUCGGACUCCCAGGUAGAUGCCUCUACCGGCUGACCUCUCCAGUGCACUCAAACUGAAGGAUAACUCUUAGACAUCAACUGUCGGACCUGCCGGGCUAGAAUAACCACCGGCUCCUCCUCAUAAGUCAAAUCUUUGUCCAAUUGGACUGAGCUGAAAUUUUAACACAUGGGACAGCUCACCAUGAUAUUUCCGGAGCAUAGACACAUGGAACACCGGAUGAACCGCUGAUAAACUAGGUGGUAAUGCUAGCAUGUAGGCUACUUCACCUACCCUUUCAAGAAUUUGAAAGGGUCCAAUAUACCUAGGGCUCAACUUGCCCUUCUUUUCGAACCUCAUUACACCUUUCAUAGGUGAAACCCGGAGCAAUAUUCUUUCUCCAACCAUGAAUGCAAUAUCACGAACCUUACGGUCGGUAUAACGCUUUUGCCUAGACUGAGUUGUACGAAGUCGAUCCUGAAUAACUUUGACCUUAUCCAAAGCAUCUUGUACCAAAUCGGUACCCAACAACCGAGCCUCUCCCGCUNNNNNNNNNNNNNNNNNNNNNNNNNNNNNNNNNNNNNNNNNNNNNNNNNNNNNNNNNNNNNNNNNNNNNNNNNNNNNNNNNNNNNNNNNNNNNNNNNNNNNNNNNNNNNNNNNNNNNNNNNNNNNNNNNNNNNNNNNNNNNNNNNNNNNNNNNNNNNNNNNNNNNNNNNNNNNNNNNNNNNNNNNNNNNNNNNNNNNNNNNNNNNNNNNNNNNNNNNNNNNNNNNNNNNNNNNNNNNNNNNNNNNNNNNNNNNNNNNNNNNNNNNNNNNNNNNNNNNNNNNNNNNNNNNNNNNNNNNNNNNNNNNNNNNNNNNNNNNNNNNNNNNNNNNNNNNNNNNNNNNNNNNNNNNNNNNNNNNNNNNNNNNNNNNNNNNNNNNNNNNNNNNNNNNNNNNNNNNNNNNNNNNNNNNNNNNNNNNNNNNNNNNNNNNNNNNNNNNNNNNNNNNNNNNNNNNNNNNNNNNNNNNNNNNNNNNNNNNNNNNNNNNNNNNNNNNNNNNNNNNNNNNNNNNNNNNNNNNNNNNNNNNNNNNNNNNNNNNNNNNNNNNNNNNNNNNNNNNNNNNNNNNNNNNNNNNNNNNNNNNNNNNNNNNNNNNNNNNNNNNNNNNNNNNNNNNNNNNNNNNNNNNNNNNNNNNNNNNNNNNNNNNNNNNNNNNNNNNNNNNNNNNNNNNNNNNNNNNNNNNNNNNNNNNNNNNNNNNNNNNNNNNNNNNNNNNNNNNNNNNNNNNNNNNNNNNNNNNNNNNNNNNNNNNNNNNNNNNNNNNNNNNNNNNNNNNNNNNNNNNNNNNNNNNNNNNNNNNNNNNNNNNNNNNNNNNNNNNNNNNNNNNNNNNNNNNNNNNNNNNNNNNNNNNNNNNNNNNNNNNNNNNNNNNNNNNNNNNNNNNNNNNNNNNNNNNNNNNNNNNNNNNNNNNNNNNNNNNNNNNNNNNNNNNNNNNNNNNNNNNNNNNNNNNNNNNNNNNNNNNNNNNNNNNNNNNNNNNNNNNNNNNNNNNNNNNNNNNNNNNNNNNNNNNNNNNNNNNNNNNNNNNNNNNNNNNNNNNNNNNNNNNNNNNNNNNNNNNNNNNNNNNNNNNNNNNNNNNNNNNNNNNNNNNNNNNNNNNNNNNNNNNNNNNNNNNNNNNNNNNNNNNNNNNNNNNNNNNNNNNNNNNNNNNNNNNNNNNNNNNNNNNNNNNNNNNNNNNNNNNNNNNNNNNNNNNNNNNNNNNNNNNNNNNNNNNNNNNNNNNNNNNNNNNNNNNNNNNNNNNAAGAUUAUCAUCAAUGAAUACAACCAUAAAAAAAAUCCAAAUAAGGCUUGAACACCCGAUUCAUCAAAUCCAUAAAUGUUGUUGGGGCAUUUGUUAGCCCAAAUGACAUCACUAAGAAUUCGUAAUGCCCAUACCGAGUCCGAAAAGCCAUUUUAGGGACAUCAGAUGUCCUAAUCUUCAACUGAUGGUAACCAGACCUCAAAUCGAUCUUCAAAACUACCUUGGCACCCUGAAGCUAAUCAAAUAGGUCAUCAAUUCUUGGCAACGAAUAUUUGUUUUUGAUAGUGGCCUUAUUCAAUUGUCGAUAAUCUAUACACAUCCGCAUAGAACCAUCUUUCUUCUUUACAAAUAAUACUGGUGCACCCCAGGGCGAGAUACUAGGUCUAAUGAAUCCUUGAUCAAGCAAGUCUUGUAACUGCUCCUUCAAUUCUUUUAACUCCGGCGGGGCCAUACGGUAUAGUGGAAUAGAAAUGGGCUGAGUGCCCAGAGCCAAAUUAAUACAGAAGUGAAUAUCUCUAUCGGGUGGCAUCCCCGACAGAUCUGCAGGAAAUACUUCUGGAAAUUCACGAACAACUGGUACUGAGUCCAUAGAAGGAACAUCCGCACUGGGAUCGCGAAUAAGCCAAAUAGGCUAGACACCCUUUCUCUACCAUACACCGAGCUUUCAUAUAAGAAAUAACCCUACUGAAAGAAUGACUAGGAGUUCCUUUCCACUCUAACCGAGGUAAUCCCAGCAUGGCUAGGGUCACUAUCUUGGCAUGAUAAUCCAAUAUAGCAUGAUAAGGGGACAGCCAAUCCAUACCCAAGAUGACAUCAAAAUCUACCAUAUCAAGAAGUAGAAGAUCUACACUAGUCUCUAGAUUACCAAUAGUAACCACACACAAAUGAUAGACAUGAUCUACUACAACAGAGUCUCCCACCGGUGUAGAUACACACACAGAAGCACUCAGAGAAUCACAAGGCACAACCAAAUAUGAAGCAAAAUAGGAGGACACGUAGGAAUAAGUAGAUCCUGGAUCAAAUAGAACUGAAGCAUCUCUAUGGCAAACAGGAAUAAUACCUGUGAUCAAAGCAUCAGAUGACUCGGCCUCAGGCUUAGCUGGAAAAGCAUAAAAUCAGGGUUGGGCCCCACCACUCUGAACUGCGUCUCUGGGACGGCCUCUAACUGGCUGGCCUCCACCUCUAACGGUCUGACCUCCACCUCUAAUGGCCUGACCUCCACCUCUAGCUGCCAGACCCCUACCUCUAACUGGAUGAGCAGGCGGUGAAGCAACUGGUACCGGUAUGAUGGCACGUGAAUCCUGCCGAGAUCUGUUAUUCGCCAAUAUAGGGCAACACCUCAUGAUGUGACAAAUGUUCCCACACUCAUAACACCCAUCCUGAUGCUAUGGCUGCUGAAGCUGAAGCUGACCCAAAUGGGUCGGAUAACCGUUGUAGUAACUCUAGAGUGGCGGUGCACUGAUAGGAGCUGAAUGUUCACUAAAUGUUGGCUGCCCAGAGUAAUGCAUAAUAGGACUGUGACUCCCUGAAGCACCGGGAGAUGCAUGAAGUGCUGAAUGAAAUGGUAUGGGAGGAUGACCCCUACCAAAUUUACCCCUACAUCCACACGAGGCACCAUCGAAACUAACGAACUGACGAGGCCUCUUAUCAGACCUCUGCCCUCUCUCAUGUGCAAGAACUAUCUCGAUCCUCCUCGCAACAUUAGCAGCCGCCUGAAAAGAAAUCUCACUUCCGGUCUCCUUGGCCAUCUGCAGCCUGAUAGGGUGAAUGAGUCCCUCAAUAAAUCUCCUCACUCUCUCUCCCUCAGUAGGUAGUAAAAGGAGAGCAUGACGGGCCAAAUGCACAAAACGGGACUCAUAUUGAGUAACAGUCAUAGUGCCCAGCUGUAGACGCUCAAAUUGCUUUCGGUAAUCCUCCCUCAGUGUGAUAGGAAGGAACUUCUCCAGAAAUAACUGAGAGAACUGCUCCCAGGUAAGUGAAGGCGAUCCAACUGGUCUAGUCAAUGUAUAAUCCCUCCACCACCUCCUGACGGAACCCGUCAUCUAAAAUACAACAAAAUCAACCCCAUUGGUCUCAACUAUACCCAUAUUCCACAGCACCUCAAGGCAGCAUUCUAGAUACUCAUGUGGGUCCUCAGAAGGUGUACCACUAAAGUAAACUGGGAAGCACUUAGUAAACUUAUCCAGUCUCAAUAAGGCCUCAAAAGACAUGGGGGUAGGGCCUAUCACCGGUCUGUGCCGCAACAACUGGCUGAACUACCCCAACUGGCAGGGCUACUAGAGCCUAAUUCUGAGGAUCUAUCUACUAUGGAGCUGGAGUAGUGGGAGUUUGUGCUUCUCCCCCAGCCUGUGAGACGGUUGGCACCACUGGAAAUGCACCAUUUUGGGCCACGUCCUACAUAAGACUCACCAACCAGACUAGAGCGUCCUGAAGCACUGGAGUGGCUAUGAAUCAUUCCGGGACCUGAACUGGUCCAACUGGUACAUUCUGAACUGGAAAUUCCUCCUGAAGGUCCACCUGAGGUCCUACAACAGCUGCAGCUGCUCGAGCUCUGGACUGAGCUCUACUUCGGCCUCUGCCUCAGCCUCUAGCACGACCUUAGCCUCAACCUCUACCCCUGGCCAUAGUUGCCACCGGGGGCUCUGGUCCCUGUCCAUCAGUAGAUGUAUUAUGUGUUCUCACCAUAUGUGAGAGGAUAAAAGUAGAAUGGUUCAAUCACCGAUGAUAGAAUAAAUUCGCACGACAGAAUAAGAAAGAAGUGAUAUUGUUCCUAAACUUCAUUGCCUCUGAGAGAUAAGUACAGACAUCUCCGUACCGAUUCUUCACUCUACUAAGCUUGCUCAUGACUCGUGAGACCUAUGUAAACUAGUGCUCUGAUACCCACUGUCAUGACCUAAAAUUCCCACCUUCGGACCGUGAUGGCUCCUAAAAGCUGUCUGGAAACAAACACACAGCUAAAGUAAAGUAGACGGGAACUUCAGAACUGCGGAUGCCAUGCAGCUAUACCUCAAGUCUCCUCUGGUAGCUGAAAUUCGAGUAAGUCUAUGGAACACCGCUGGGACCAACUCCGUAAUCUGCACAAGACGUGCAGAGUGUAGUAUCAGUAAAACCGACCCCAUGUACUGGUAAGUGCUGAGCCUAACCUCGACGAAGUAGUGACGAGGCUAAGGUGGGUCAAUUUUAUUAACCUUUACGCAAUAUUAGUAACAACAACAAAUAAUAAAAAUAAAUCAGGUAACUCUUUUAUAAUAGUUGAAGCUAACUCAGCAGUCAUAACCAAUUAUUAAUUCAACCAAUUUCCGUUGCAGCGUGCAAACCGCUCCUACAAUAUAUUCAUUUUCAAUCCUCCAAUAUAUUUAUUUUAAUCAAAUAUAUAUAUAUAGACUUUUAAAUAAGUCUGUUGCGGCGUGCAAUCCGAUCCCCCAAUAUAGACUUUUUGUUAAGUCCGUUACGGCGUGCGACCCGAUCCUCCAAUAUGGACUUUUAAUAAGUCUGUUGCGACGUGCAACCCGAUCGUCCAAUAUGGACUUUUAAUAAGUCUAUUACGGCGUGCAACCCGAUCCUCCAAUAUAUUCAUUUACCAAUUCUUAUAGAAGAAAUUGCCCCAAUAGAUGCAACAAUUAAUAUAAAAUUAUAAGACAAUAAACUUACAAUAAUUAUGAUUUAAUUAUGAAACAAACAAUGAGAAAUAGCAAUUUAUUAUGGAAAUCAGGGAGAAAAUAGGUAGUUUAAUAUUUAAUAUGCUAAAUGUCAAGUAGCAAUUAAUACACAUAAUUCAAAUAAGCAUGUAGCAAUUAUUACAGGAAUUCAUGAAUUAAUAUUUGACGAAGAAUUGGAGAGAAAUAAUUAUUACAAUAAUUAAUUCGUGUAUUAAAAUAAAUUUAGGAUUUCCAAAAAAUUAUGCAAACAAUUAAUUUGAUGACGUAUAGACACUCGUCACCUCGCCUAUACGUCGUUCACAUACAUUUCACAUAAUAAAUAAUUUAAGGGUUCCAUUCCCUCAAGUCAAGGUUAACCACAACAUUUACCUCGCUUUGCAAAUUCCAAUCAAUUACUCGACCACAGCUUUUCCUUUUAAAUUUGUCUCCAAAAGCUUCAAAUCUAUUCACAAACAAUUUGAUAUACUCAAUAAGAAUCAUAGAAAUUAAUUCUAUAUGAAUUUAAUAAUUUUUCGGAUAAAAAUCCAAAAUUCAUUUAAAUAUUCGACAGUGGGACCCAUAUCUCAAAUCUCAGAAAAACUUACGAAAUCCAAAUAACCAUUCCGAGACGAGUCCAACCAUAAAAAAUUUAUCAAAUUCCGAUGUCAAACAAACCUUCAAAUCUUAAAUUUUUUCGUUUUUGGAAGAUUUUAUAAAAAUCUGAUUUUUCUUCCAUAAAUUCACGGAUUCAUGAUAUAAAUGAGUAUGGAAUCAUGAAAUAUAAUCAAUAUAGGAUAAGGAACACUUACCCCAAUUUUUUCUCGUGAAAAUCGCCCAAAUAUUCGUCUUAGCGAGCUCAAAAUGACCAAAAUGAGUAAACCUGGCGACUUCCGAAUUUAAGGGCUCUGCCUAGUCUUUUUCGGAUCUGCGGACCAAAUUUCCGCAUCUGCGGACUCGCUUCUGCGAAGAGGAGUCCGCUUCUGCGCAAGGCUGCCCCUUCCCCCUUUCCCGCUUCUGCGACGCGUGGACCGCUUCUGCGGUCGCUCUUCUGCGACAGCCCAUCCGCUUUUGCGGACUGUCCGCUUCUGCAGCCAAGACUUCGCAGAAGCGAAGGCACCAGAAGGAGCAAACUUUCAAAUUUUUCUUAAGUCCAAUUCUUGUUCCGAUUUCGAUUCGAAUCACACCCGGGGUACUUAGGACCCCGUCCGAAUAUACCAACAAGUCCCAUAACAUAAUACGGACUUACUCGGGGUCUCAUAUCACGUCAAACAAUGUUGAAAUUAUAAUUCACACCUCGAUUCGAACUUUGAGUUUUAGAUUUUUCAAUUUGCGAAUCUCAUGCCAAAAUAUAUUAAAUGAAUCCGGAAUGAUUUCAAAUUUGGCAUCAAGUCCUAAAUGACAUAAUAGAGAUAUUCAAAUCUCCAUAAUCGGGUUCCGGCUCCGAUUCAAAAAGUCAACCUCGUGGUCAAACUUGGAAAUUUUUAGCCUUUAAAUUACUAGUUUCCUUUAAAUGGUCAUAACUUGAGCUAGGGACCUCCAAAUUAAAUUUCGGGCAUACGCCCAAGUCCCAAAUCACAAUACGGACCUACCGGAACUGUCAAAACACUAAUCCGGGCCUGUUUUCUCAAAAUGUUGACCAAAGUCAACUCAAUUAAGUUUUAAGGCUCUACUUCAUAUUUUAAUCCAUUUUUCACAUAAAAACUUUUCGAAAAAUUAUACGGAUUGUGCACGUAAGUCGAGGAAUUGUAAAUAGUGCUUCUCUAGGUCUUAGAACACAAAAUUAAUUAUUAAAUUUAAAGAUGAUAUUUUGGGUCAUCACACUUGGGCUCAACUUGCCCUUCUUUUCGAACCUCAUAACGCCCUUCAUAGGCGAAACCCAAAGCAAGAACCGCUCUCUAACCAUGAAUGCAACAUCACGAACCUUCCGGUCCGCAUAACUCUUCUGUCUGUACUGGGUUGUAUGAAGUCUAUCUUGAAUUACCUUAACCUUUUCCAAGGCAUCCUGAACCAAGUCCGUACCCAAUAACCUGGCCUCGCCCGACUCGAACCAACCCAUUGGGGACCGACACCGCCUACCAUACAGAGCCUCAUACGGUGCCAUCUGAAUGUUGGACUGAUAAUUGUUGUUGUAAGCAAACUCCGCAAGUGGCAAGAACUGAUCCCAAACACCCCCAAAAUCUAUCACACAAGCGCGGAGCAUUUCCUCUAAUAUCUGGAUUGUGCGCUCGGAAUGUCCGUCCGUCUACGGGUGAAAUGUUGUGCUCAACCCAACCCGAGUACCCAUCUCUUGCUGUACAGCCCUCCAGAACCGUGGUGUAAACUACGUACCCCGGUCAGAGAUGAUAGAUAUCGGUACGCCAUGAAGCCUGAUAAUCUCGCGGAUAUAAAUUCGAGUCAACUGCUCGGAAGAAUAGGUAGUCAUCACAUGAAUGAAAUGAGCUCACUUUGUCAGUCUAUCCACAAUCACCCAAAUUGCAUCAAACCUUCGCUGAGUCCGUGGGAGUCAAAAAACGAAAUCUAUAGUGAUCCACUCCUAACUCCACCCCGGAAUCUCUAACUUUUGAAGCAACCACCUGGCCGCUGAUGCUCAUACUUUACCUGCUGGCAAUUCAGAAAUCGUGCCACAUACUCUACUAUGUCCUUCUUCAUCCUCUUCCACCAUUAAUGUUGUCUCAAGUCUUGAUACAUCUUUGCGGCACCCGUAUGAAUAGAGUACCGCGAGCUAUGAGAUUCCUGAAGAAUCAACUCACGCAAACCAUCUACAUUAGGCACACAUAGCAUGCCCUGCAUCCUCAAUGCACCAUUAUCUCCAAUAGUGACCUCCUUAGUAUCACUGUGCUGGAUCGCGUCCUUAAUGACAAGCAGAUGGGGGUCAUCAUACUGGCGCUCCCUGAUACGAUCAUAAAGAGAAGACCAAGAGACCACACAAGCCAAUACUCAUCUCGGCUAAAAAAUAUCCAAUCUCAUAAACUGGCUGGCUAAGGCCUGAACAUCCAACGCCAGUGGCCUCUCUAUUGCUGGUAGAUAUGAUAAACUCCCCAAACUCUCUGCCCGGCGACUCAAAGAAUUGGCCACCAUAUUGACCUUCCCAAGGUGGUACAAAAUGGUGAUAUCAUAAAACAUAAGCAGCUCCAACCACCUCUUCUGACGCAAAUUAAGAUCCUUCUGCUUGAAUAGAUGCUGCAAACUCCGGUGAUCGGUGUAAAUCUCAUAAGGAACGCCGUACAAAUAAUGCCGCCAAAUCUUCAAGGCAUGAACAAUAGCUGCUAACUCAAGGUCAUGGACAAGAUAAUUCUUUUCAUGCACCUUCAGCUAUCUGGACGCGUAGGCAAUCACCCAACCAUCCUGCAUCAAAACCGCGCAAAGACCAGUCCGCGAUGCAUCACAAUAUACCGUAUAAGACCCCGAACCUAUAGGCAGUACCAAUACUAGGGAUGUAGUCAAAGCUUUCUUGAGCUUCUGAAAGCUCUCCUCACAUUCCUCUGUCCACCUGAACAGAGCACCCUUCUGGGUCAGCCUGGUCAUGGGAGUUGCAAUAAAUGAGAAACUCUCUACAAAUCGACGGUAAUACCCCGCCAAACCAAGAAAACUCCGGAUCUCUGUAGCUGAGGACGGUUUGGUCCAACUCUGCAUUGCUUCAAUCUUCUUCGGAUCCACCUGGAUUCCCUCACUCGAUACUAUAUGACCUAAGAAUGCCACUGAGUCUAGCCAAAACUCACACUUUGUAAAUUUUGCAUAUAACUUCUUUUCUCUCAAGGUCUGAAGCGCAGUCCUCAGGUGCUGCUCAUGAUCCUCUCGAGUACACCAGAAUGUCGUCAAAACACACAAUGACGAAUGAGUCAAGAUAAGACCGAAACACACUGUGCAUUAAGUGCAUAAACGUUGCUGGGGCAUUGGUCAGCCCAAAAGACAUAACAAGAAACACAUAGUGACCAUAUCUGGUCCUAAAAGCAGUCUUCAGGAUAUCUGGCUCCCGAAUCUUCAACUGAUGAUAACCUGAACACAAGUCAAUCUUGGAAAACACUCUGGCACCCUGUAACUGAUCAAAUAAGUCAUCAGUACGAGGCAAUGGAUACUUGUUCUUCACUGUGACUUUGUUCAACUGGCGGUAAUCAAUACACAUCCGCAUAGAACCAUCCUUCUUCUUCACAAAUAAGACAGGAGCACCCCAAGGUGACACACUAGGCCGAAUGAAGCCCUUAUCAAGUAAUUCUUGUAACUGCUCCUUCAAUUCAGGAGGAGCCAUACGAUAUGGAGGAAUAGAGAUGAGAUUAGUGCCUGGCAACAAAUCAACGCCAAAAUCAAUAUCUCUAUCGGGUGGCAUGCCCGAAAGAUCAGCUGGAAACACAUCUGGAAAAUCCCUCACUACUGGAACUGACUCAACUGUAGGGGUAUCAAUACUGAUGUCUCUCACAUAAGCUAGAUACGUGUCAUACCCCUUCUCAACCAUUCGUUGAGCUUUAAGAAAUGAAAUAACUCUGCUGGGAGUAUACUCUAAGGUACCUCUCCACUCUAAUCACAGAAAUCCUAGCAUAGCCAGCAUAAUGGUCUUAGCGUGACAAUCAAGAAUAACAUAAUGGGGUGACAACCAGUCUAUGCCAAAAAUAAUAUCAAAGUCCACCAUGCUGAGCAAUAAUAAAUCGGCUCUGGUCUCAAAACCACUAAGAACAAUCAAACACGACCGAUACACGCGGUCCACAAUAAGAGAAUCUCCCACAUGAGUAGACACAUAAAUAGGGGAACUUAAAUAAUCUCGAGAUAUGCCCAAAUACGGGGAAAAAUAAGUGGACACGUAAGAGUAUGUAGAGACUGGGUCAAAUAAUAUUGACGCAUCACUAUGAUAGAACGGAACAAUACCUGUAACGACAAAAUCAAAAGCAAUUGCCUCUGUAUAAGCAAGAAGGGCAUAAUAUUUGGCAUGGCCUCCCCUUCUAAGGCGACCUCUACCUCCCCGGCCUCCAUCUCGAGCUGGAUGAGCAGGUGGGGCGGUAGCUGGUGCUGGAAUCAUAGCCUGAGGACCCGGUAGAGCACGUUGUGGAUGAGAAGUCUGUAGAGGUGCACCCCUCCUAAGUCUAGGGCAAAUCCUCACCACAUGGCGAGUGCCACCACACUUAAAACAACCUCCCUACUGACGUAGUUGUGGGAAUUGUGCAGUACGGGCACCUUGAGACCCAUGAAUACCUGAAACAUCGUGUGAAGCCUAAAAUGCAAACUAAAUUGGCUGACCCACAAAACCUCUACCAUGUCGUACCCUGCCUCCAAAAUAAGGACCAGUGGAUCUUUCCAGUCCUGCUGAAAUGCGACCACAGGUUGUGUCGCCAUGACAUCUGGAACCUGACUAACGUGAACUCACUGCUCUAGAGUGUGGGCGGUGGGAGUCUAGGUCCCUCCCCCUAUCUGUGAAGUAGCUGGUACAACCUGAAUCAACCCCGCCAUAACCAAUGCACCAAACAUGCUCAGGAACUGUGCUAAGGUCUCCUGAAGUCCGGAGGUAACAGCAGGCGCCUCUGGUACCUGUCCCCAACUAGAGCUACUGGCGGCCCCUCUACUGCUGCUCUGGUAGGUGCUCUAGCUGUGGUGCGCACUACUCGUUGGCCUCUGUCUCAGCCUCUAGUGACACCUGCUCCGGGAGUAACGUCAUCGAUAACUACAGUUUGUUUCCUCACCAUCUGUGAGAGAAUAGAAUACAGAAGUUUAGAAUUUUUUAAGUCAACAAUUUUUGCACGACAAGAAAUCAAAGUAGUGAAAUUUUCUUAUCAGUUCCAUAGCCUCUCGAAGAUAAGUACAGAUGUCUCCGUACCGAUCCGUGAGACUCUACUGAACCGGUUUGUGACUCACGACACCUAUGAACCUAGAGCUCUAUUACCAACUUGUCACGACCCAAUUUCCCCUCCGUGUGACGUCGUCACAGCACCUAGUCUUUACAACUACGUAAGCCUAAUAUUUUGCGGAAUAAUAAAAUGAAAAUAUAAAUUUAACCAACUAUUAAAAAAUACACAAUAAUCCCAAAACCCGGAACAUCGUGAAUCACAAACUACAGAAAGAAAAUUUAGUGUCUCUAUACAUUCGAGUCUAUCAAAAGAAAAUACAGAAGAUAAUGGACAUGGGGAAGAGUAGAAGGGUACUUCGAGGUCUGCGGACGCGGCAGAUAUACCUUGAAGUCUCCAAAGUUAUCCCGGCUCACUGAUAGUGCGACUGAUAAGGAGUACCUGAAUCUGCACACGAAAAACAUGGGCAAAAGUAGCAUGAGUACACCACAAUCGGUACCCAGUAAGUGCCAAGCCCAACCUCGGUCGAGUAGUGACGAGAUCAGGCCAGGGCCCUACUGGUAUAUAUAUAUAUAUAUAUAUAUAUAUAUAUAUAUAUAAUNNNNNNNNNNNNNNNNNNNNNNNNNNNNNNNNNNNNNNNNNNNNNNNNNNNNNNNNNNNNNNNNNNNNNNNNNNNNNNNNNNNNNNNNNNNNNNNNNNNNNNNNNNNNNNNNNNNNNNNNNNNNNNNNNNNNNNNNNNNNNNNNNNNNNNNNNNNNNNNNNNNNNNNNNNNNNNNNNNNNNNNNNNNNNNNNNNNNNNNNNNNNNNNNNNNNNNNNNNNNNNNNNNNNNNNNNNNNNNNNNNNNNNNNNNNNNNNNNNNNNNNNNNNNNNNNNNNNNNNNNNNNNNNNNNNNNNNNNNNNNNNNNNNNNNNNNNNNNNNNNNNNNNNNNNNNNNNNNNNNNNNNNNNNNNNNNNNNNNNNNNNNNNNNNNNNNNNNNNNNNNNNNNNNNNNNNNNNNNNNNNNNNNNNNNNNNNCGUAGUAUAUAUAUAUAUAUAUAUAUAUAUAUAUAUAUAUAUAAACUAAGACAAAAUGAAAUAUUGCAGUAAAAAUAAGUACUAAAAAAACAAUGUAACAAGAAUGAAAUCAUAGCAAGUCAACAGCUCAGUACACAAAAAUAACAAUAGGGGAUCUACCGGAAUACUGUUUCGUAGUACAAAAGUAAAUAUGCAGAGCAGGGGGAUCUACCGAAAUACCGUUCGUAAAUAUAGCAGAGUAGGGGGAUCUACCGGAAUACCGUUCCGUAGUCCCAAAGUAAAUAUGCACAGCAGAGGAAACUACCGAAAUACCGUUCCGUAGUCCCAAAGUAAAUAUGCAGAGCAGGGGGAUCUACCGGAAUACCGUUUCGUAGUUCCAAAGUAAAUAUGCAGAGCAAGGGGAUUUACCAGAAUACUAUUUCGUAGACCCUAAGUAAAUAUACAGUGCAAAUAAUAGAAAAAUAACUAUAUCACAAAAUCUUACGAAUUAGACUAAGUCCUAGUCAAGGAAGAAGCAGGAAAUUCACUAAGCAUGUUGCACAGAGUUCACAUAAGCAAUUAAGACACGUAGACAUGUUGUUUAGACUAAACAAGAUAAAUUCAUAUGCUAGUGUAGUUCAGUUAAAGGAAGACAGGUAUUUUACUUAAUGAAAACGGAGUUUUGCAACAAUAGCUCGUGUACGCACUCGUCACCUCACGUACACGGCGCUCAUAUAUCAAAAACAGUACCAAAUCCUAAGGGGGAGUUCCCACAUGCAAGGUUAGGUAAGCCACUUACCUCAAACCAAGCUCAAUCAAUCGGUAACAUUGCCUUUUCCACGAAUAUCCGACUUCGAAUGGCCCAAAUCUAGCCAAAAAUAAUUGCAUAUCAUAAAUACAACUAUAAUAGGCUCAUCUAAUUAAUGAAAUCAAUACUUUAACAAAAAUUCCGAAAUUCGCCCUAAAAGGUCGACCCGAGCCCACGUCUCGGAAUCGGACAAAUAUCACAAAAAUACGAAAGCCCAUUCACUCACGAGUCCAACCAUGCCAAAUAUAUCAAAAUCCGACCUCAAAUGACUACUCAAAACCCCAAAUCAAACUCUUCAAAUCCCUAGCCUCCAACUCCCAAUUUUCACCUUAAAUACACACUAACUAGGUGGGAAAAUAAAUAGGGAAGCAAGAUUAUUGAUCAAAAAUAAGCACAAGGGACUUACCUCAAGAAACCCCUCAAAAAUUAUCUCAAGAAAUCGCCAAACCCGAGCUCAAAAUGUUCAAAAUGAGCAAAAAUCGUGAACCUUUGCAUUUAAGUGUUCUGUCUAGAAGUCUCGCACCUGCGGACUCUCUCUCGCAUCUGCAAUGCCGCACCUGCAGAAAUUCCAUCGCAGGUGCGAAUUCCACUUAGAAUCUCAGGUUUCGCUCAUGCGGCUAUGCGACCACAUCUGCGACUAUCGCAGGUGCGGAAAUGCAUCGCACCUGCGGCUUCCCCUCGCACUUGCGCCCAAUUGCCCGCAUCUGCGACUCUCGCAGGUGCGGGAAAAUCUUCGCACCUGCGGUUUCUGCCAAGCUCCUUCUUGGCCGCAUCUGCGGCUCCUCCUUCGCACAUGCAAUCCCGCACCCGCAAGUGCGAAAACACCAGAAACCAAAAAAUCUUCAGCAACUAGCCUAAGUCCAAAUUCAAUCCGUUAAGCAUGCGAAACACACCCGGGACCUCAACCAAACAUACCAACAAGUCCUAACACACCAUACAAAUUUAGUCUAGCCCUUAAAUCACAUCGAACAACGCUAAAAUCACAAAUCAUCCUCCGAUUCAAACUUAAAGAACUUGAAACUUCCAAAUUCGACAACCGAUGCCGAAACCAACCAAACCACGUCAGGUUGACACCAAAUUUUGCACACAAGUCAUAUUCAACAUUAUGGACCUACUCUAACUUCCAGAAUCGGAAUCUGACCCCGAUAUCAAAAAUUCCACUACCGGCCCAAAACUCCAAAAAUUUGACUAUUGCCAUUUCAAGCCUAAAUGAGCUACAGACCUCCAAAACAUAAUCUGGGCACGCCUAUAAGCCCAAAAUCACCCAACGGAGCUAACAAAACCGACGAAAAUCCAUUCUGUAGUCGUCUUCAUAUAGUUCUGACUACGGUCAAAGUCCUAAGACUUAAGCUCUCGUUUUAGGGACUAAGUGUCCCAAAACACUUUGAAACCAAAAACAAAACCUUCCGACAAGUCACAUAAGCAGAAAAGGGUACGGGGGAAACAGUAAAUAGGGGAUUGGGAAAAUUAUUAUCAAAACAACCGGCCGGGUCGUUAUAAAAUGAUACGACACGUCUAAAACUGAAGCAAAUCAAGAAGUUCUUUUUUAAUUAAUUUGAUAAAUCAGAAUCCAACGACCUAAGCCAAAAGAAAAACGCCAACACAAUCCACAUUUCACACCGUGUCCAAAUACAAACUUCACUUAAUUCAUAUAAAUUUCGAGGUUCGAACAAAAGUCCACUAACCGAGCUGAACUGGUUAGCGGUGAAAGUAAUCGAGAACUUUACAUAAUUGUAAUAAUUUAAAAGAAAUAUAACAACUUCGUAGCAUGAAAUCCAAUAUUACAGUUGUGGCAGAAAAAUAUUUAUAAAUGUAGCACACAAUUCUAUUAAAAUAUAAAUAUUAAUUAUUAAUCUCUAAACAUAAGCAAUUUGAAUGAAAAGUUAAUAAUUCUUUGUACAAAAAUUAUGCUUCUUGUUUCUCUUUAUCUAUUAGCUUUCCUUCUUUUUCUUCAUCUUCUUAAUUUUUUUUCUGCCAAAGCCACUAUAUUUUCUAAAUUUGUUCCAUUCAUUUUCUUUUUAAUUAUCUUUCUUAAGUUUUUCUCUUCCUUCUUUCUUCCUUUCUUAACAUAAAGAUCUUACUUUGAUAAUAAUAUACGUUAAUAUAUAUAAAACGUAUAUAAAAAAUAUAUAUAUUAAAUUAACACAUAUAAAAUAUACAAAUAUACAUCUUCAAUUAAGAUGACACUUCGACAUGUGAAAUAUACAUAAAAAAUAUAUCUUAAAAUAAGAUGGCACUUCACAAAUAAAUAUACAAAAUNNNNNNNNNNNNNNNNNNNNNNNNNGAUUUAGGUGCAUUCACAUAUGCAUCAGAUUUUUAAAAAAAUGGAGUGAAAAAGAUGAAUAUUGGGCUUAAUUUUUGUAAUAUACUAAUAAUAAAAAAAGAAAGUGCUCUUUAUGGAAUAAACAAUAAAUGAUGCUAUUUUUUUAAAAAUAAUAGUUAAAAAGGGAUAAGUGUGUAAAAAACUCAAAGUAAUUCCCACGAACUGAGAACAGUUAACCAUAAGGUAAAUUAGUAUCUGCCACCUGAGCCACUAUCACCACCUUCGACCAAUCUUCCACCAAAUCCACUACCACCACUUCCUAUAUGGUCAUUACUUCCACCAAUACCAGUUCCCCCCCCCCCCACCCCCCAAACCUCCACUGCCACUGCCACCUCCACCGCCUGCACCGCCGAGCAACCGCCUUCCUAAAUGGUCAUUGUAUGGGGGUAAAAUAUGACAUAUUAAAUGAUUGCAUGAGAAAGUGACACGUGGAGUCAAACAUAGAGGAUCGCUGAAACCGAAGGCAAUAAUUUCAUCUGUUACCUGAGAGAAUGAUACUCAUAAAGAUAAAAUAAAUGUCUGCCACUCAGUUCAUCUAAUGAAGAAUAUUCAAUAGCAUUUAUUACACUGCCCGUUAUAAAAGAAUAUAGCAUUCAUGCCCGCCGUUACAUACUCUUCAAUGGCGACAUUAAAGAGGGACUUGAUCCUAGGUCCUUGUUCCCUAGGUACAACUAUAAAUAGUGAGCCCUACUAUCAUUGUAAGGGACACGAAUUUUCUGGCAAACUUACGGUACACUCUAUUCAAAGUUUAAUAUAAUCUUAUCUUCUUGCUUUUUGAUUUUAUUGUUCUUGUACCCGUAAGCCCUGCUCCCGGAACUAUUAUUUUUGCUAUUUUGUCUCCAUCUCAAGGCUAAGUAUUUCAUAUUUAUAUAAUUCAUCUUUUAUUCCAGGAUCAAAUUAAUUCACUUAUCUAAAAACUAUGUAUAAAUUCAACUGUACCGUUUUACAGGUAAACACUUUGGUGCCCACCGUGGGGCCUAGACAGUCGUGUAAUUAACUUGGUCCUUACCUCUUUUACUAACGUGUUUCGAUUAUUUGUUCUUAGCAAAAAAUCAUAGAAAAUGGCAGAUAAUGUUGUUAACAAUACACACAAUCUUGAGGCCUAGGAAAACCAGCGUCAUCACGAGAAUUCAAUCAGCGAUACCCGCAGCGAGGGGAACGAGGCCACACCGGUCCAUGGUAGGCGGUACCCACGACAUGUUCGGGAGACGACUCCUGAUGAUGCUGAAGAGAAGCAUGUCGUUGAAGCGGUAAGGGUCCUGCAGGAGAAAUAAGAGGCCAUUUUCGGCCAUCUCACACGGCAGGAUAAGGUUAUGACAGAACUAAAGCAGGCGUCAUCAGGUGCUUCCAAUAACGCAAAUGGACGAGGUCCAGUUCCUCCCGGUACUCCCACAAAUCAAAUAACACAGAGGGUCGACAACAACACCUCGAGGGGCAAUGUCGGCUUCGAUGGGGCAGGAGGAGCGGAUUCGGUCACAACAACGAGAGUGAUCCUUUCAAAAGCGAACUCAUACGGUUUAAGAAGGAAGUGAACUCCCGCAUGGACCAAAUCCCGGGUGCACCACCGGUGUUGAAGAGACCGAACUCAAAGAAGCACACUCAAUUGUCGUACAAACCGAGCGCGACACCAGAAUUGAUCCCGAAACGAUUUAAAAUGCCCGAUGUGACGAAGUAUGAUGGGACUUCAAACCCUCAGUAGCAUAUUACCACCUAUACGAUGACGGUGAAGGGGAACGAUUUAGCUCCCCAUGAGAUCGAAUCAGUUUUACUAAAGAAAUUCGGAGACACUCUCAUGAGGGGAACCUUGACGUGGUAUUUGCUGUUGCCUGAGCAUUCCAUAGAUUCUUUUGAGAUGCUCGUAGAUUCUUUCAUUAAGGCUCAUGCCGGGGUCAGAAAAGUGCAGGCCCGAAAGGCCGAUAUUUUCAUAAUUGCACAAGGAGAGUCCGAGUUACUGCGGGAAUUCGUGACCCGGUUCCAGAAGGAAAGGAUGUUGCUCCCGGCUUUUCCAAAUGAAUGUGCGGUUGAAGUAUUCACCAAGGGUUUGAAUCCGAGAAGUUCUAAUACUUCCCAGAAGUUGAAGGAAAGCUUGCUCGAUCUAAGCAACAACUUGGGCAGAUGCUCACAGUCGGUACGAGUCAAAGAUAAGAAUUGAGGAUGAUCAGAUCGGCGUUCCGGCGUCGGCUAAAGGUCGGGAGAAGACUAAAGAGAAAUCAAAAGACUAUUUCGACACAAAUAGACGGUCUUCGAGGAGACGGUUUUUGCCUUAUGUACGGUCCGAUGGACGCGGUAGAGGUUUUCGGUGCAGACAGGUUCAUUAUCGAUAGAAGAACUUAUCGCGGCCGGAAUAAUAGAUCAUUACAGGACAAGGAAAUAUCAGGUUCUUGAGACUAUCAGAAUACAACUUCAACGUCAGUGUAGUAUAGUUGGUAUCGACUAUGAGGAACAUUAAAGAAGCACGGUUCCCGGCAUCUGCGUGAAGAUGUGGCGAAACUACUAAAAAUAGCCAUUUCAUGGAAUUCUUAAGCGACAUGGCCAAAAACAAUUACGGUCGCAACCGUGAUAACACGGAGCCCACAAAAGUAGGAGAAGAUCUCUCGCGCUAGACGAUCAACAUACUCUGUUCCAAAUUUCUUCUGGCGAUAAUACUAAUAAUGGCUCCUCAUAAUCAGUUUGGUUCUUCAUAAAUGCACUAGUAUUUCUCCUAAACUCGUGAUCCCUAGGCAAGAAUCGAUAGUGGCAGUCAAACCAUGUGUUCUUUCCUCCAUGUUUUAACGUGAAUGCUUUUGUGUCUUUCAUACAAGUUGGGCAAGCUAACUUGCCCGCAGUCUACCACCCGGAUAACAUUCCGUAAGCAGAAAAAUUAUUUAUAGUCCACAUCAAAGCAACACGCAAUUUGAAGUUUUGUUUAGUUGAUAUAUCAUAUGUUUCUACACCUUCAUGCCACAAUAACUUUAACUCAUCAAUUAAAGAUUGCAUGUAUAUAUCAAUCAAACUUUUCGGAUUGUGUGGACCUCGAACAAUGCAAGUUAGGAAUAAAUAUGGACUUGUCAUAUACAACUCAGGAGGAAGAUUAUACGGUGUAACAAACACUAGCCAGCAUGAAUAUGGUACAAUAGAGACAGAAAAUGGAGUGAAUCUAUCUGCACAUAAACUCAACAUAAUAUUUUUUGGUUCAUUAGCAAAAUCCGAAAACACCCUAUUAAAAUGCUUUCAUGCUUAUCCAUCUGACGGAUGACAUAGAAUACCAGGUGGCCUUCUAUUUUUAUAGUGUCAUCUCAUAUGAGGAUCAGAGCUCAUUGAUGCAUACAACCUCUUUAACCUAGGUAUGAGGGGUAAGUAAUGCAUCGCCUUAACUGGAACCUUCUUCUUUUUUGAAUUUAUGACUUCCUUGUAACGAUGUUGGUUAUAAAAUUUUACAAUUUUCUAAAGCUGCAUCAUCCUUAUAGCAUAACAUGCAACCUUUCUCACAACAGUCAAUCCUCUAUGAUGAAAGUCCUAACUUAGAAACCAAUUUCUUUGUUGUAUAGAAAUCAUUGGGUAGGUCAAUUUUAUUCGGAUUAAAUUCAUUCAUAAGGCCAAUUAUAGAGUCCAUGCCCGCUUGAGAAAUACUCGAAUACAAUUUAAUACUUAAUAAUCUAACCACAGCAGACGACUUAAAAUGCAUUGAGCCUUCAUAUAAUGGUUGACUUGCUUCUUGUAAAUAUUCAUAGAAGCGCUUAGCAUCAUUAUUUGGUUCAGACUGAGCCCCGGGGUGCAUUACAAAAGCAUCCCUAACUAUUUUAUUGAAUCGAGAAUUUUCAGCAUUAUUCUGUACUAAUGGACUACCCUCACGACCAAAGAAAUUUUGAAAAUCGACAUCACCAACACUAGCAACAUCUUCUAUAUGAAAAGUCCACACGUAAUAAUUUUCCAUAAACUCUUUUUUAUAAAGAUGAAUUUUAACAACAUCUGGUUGCAAUAACUUUCCGCAUUUGCAUUUCACACAAGGGCACCUAAUCACCCCUUCACUGAGAAAUUCAUGAAGUGUUUUCGCUUUAGCCAUAAAUUCAGCAAUCCCUUUUAUAAAUUCCUCCCUCAACCCACUACGAUUAGGAUACAUUCGAUUAUACAUCCAUCUACGAUGUGCAAGCUCCAUCUACACAAAAUAAAUCCAAGAUAUUUAAAACAAUAUUACUUAGUAUUAUGCCAAAAAAUAUUUACUAUAAUAAACCUAUAAAGUAAAACCUUUAUAUGAGUUCAACUCCAAGAAUAUCACUUCUUGAAAGACGGAAAGCUUUUCAUUACUACACUGGAAUACUUCUUUUAGAAUAACUUGACACCUUUUUGUAAGUAACUAUAUUUUUCAUUCCAACUUUAUUAAAUAUAUUUAAAGUAAUUUGGACAAAAAUAUUUAAACUAUAUCCAUGAAUACUAUAACCAAAAUAAUUAUCUGAUAAAGUUUCUCAAAGAUAUUUUCCUAAAUAUGUGGAUAGUGCAUGUAGAUACAACUAGCUUCUCCUCCAAAAAGUUUUAACUUAAAAAAGAAAAUUAUUAUGGCUUUUUGUAUACUAACGACUCAUGAACAAUGUAUGGGUAUCAAUGCUAAGGCUGUUCUUCUUGAUUGUUUGAAACAGAUUUCAAGACUAUGUCCAAAGGUGGGUUGGGUUGAAUGGAAAUUAGAAUCCUUUAGUUAGUCCAAUAUAAUCAAAAAUAUCCUAAUAAAUGAGCCCUAGCUCCUAAAAAACUAUUAACAACAACAAUGACAAUAACAACAACAACAAUUAUGAUUAUAAUAUAGCGUUAUGGAAGACAGUCCAAUGCAGCUUCAGACAAUUUUCGUUUAACUGUAACGCCCCAAUAGUGGUAACACAACCUUUUCGAAAAAGCACGAGUUCAUUUUUACUUAGACAAAGAGCCUAGUAAAACUUUAGUUAGCUAGCUUAAAUAGUGAAUUAAGAUGCGCUCCAGGAAACUUCAAUGAACAUAACUCAUGCCAAAAGAGUGGAAAUCAAAUUUUCAGCAGUAAAACAAUUAAGUUCUAACACUAUUGCUCAACCUUAUUACACUAGUUGGCUAUAACAUGAUUAAGUUUAGGGAUUAGUUAUGAGUAUAGAUAGAUAAGUAAAAAUAUAUGAUUGAUCUUCAACACGAACUCCUUUAAAUUAGUCAUGAUGUUGGACUACAUAUUUCUUUGAGGAACAAUAUGCAAUAAUCUCUUUAAUGAAUAUGUAAGAUAGUAGUUGAAAAGUUCAAGUUGUUUUUAAUGUCUCAUCUUGACUAUGUGAGAGCUUUAGUUAGAUAUUACACUUAUGGGGGUUAGUUGCAUUCUCUGUUAAGAUGAACCUGACUUAAUAGCAGUUAAAUAUGUUAGAAUUGAAUUGCUAAACUUCUGUCAAAUAUGUUAGGAUUUAUGGGGAUAUAUUUUUUUUCAACGUUAUCUGUCAACUAUGAAUGUGUAUGCGUGCAUAUAUAAUCGAAGAGUUAUUUUUUCAUCUAAUUAAGAGUUACACGCCCAACUGUUAAACGAAAAAAACUUAUUAAUUAUAAGUGUGUCAAUAUUAGUUGUAUGUGGCUAAGCAUGUUACUAUUCGAAUUUUAUUCAUUUCUUAUCAUUGAUAACUGUUUACCUUUACAAGAAAGUUAACUUAAGAUAUCAUAAAAGUCUUGAAUGGCUAAAGCUACUCAUGCAAGAUUCUAUGUAGAUGCAAAAGGGAGUGAAAAUAUCCCAGAAACCAGAAAAUUAAACCUGAAAAUUCUGCGACUUUCAAAGAAGAAAGAAACCAAUAAUUGACUUCAAAACUUUUUGUUAUUUAGUUUAAUUUCGAAUAAUGCAGCUUCAGUUGAAUUUCCAAUCCAUCAUAAAUUAUCUAAAAUUUACAACAAUAAAAGAGAUGGUCAUUUGAUCUAUCCAAUUCUUCAAACCCAAGCAAAUAUUUCUCACCUUUCCCAAUUCCAAAAUCUUCUUUUUCACUUCCCCCACCAAAAUCCCAAUAAAAUACUUCUAAAUCUGUAAAUCCUCUAAAGAAAUUUGAAACAUUACCGAUGACUAAACCCACAAAGUUUCUAGGUAAUAAGAAUGAGAGAAACUAACAGAGAAGAGGAAAUUUCACAAAUUUGCGCAUUGAUACCUAGCGACGUCGACCACUCUUUGCCACCGUCAAUCGAUAGGUGGAGUGGAAGAAACAUUGGAGACGAAAAAUCUAGAGACAGAGAGAGAGAGAGAAAAAGAGAGAAUCGAUAGAAUGAGUCUUUUUCUUGUUUUAAAUUUGGGGAAAUAAGUCUGUUUUCUUAAUUUUAAUUUGGGUUCCGACUAACACGAUCGUAAUCUACUUAAAUAUAUAUAUUUUUGUUUAAAUUUUAUAUUUUCGACUGACGCAGUCAGUGAUUUGGUCAACAUAUAUUUUUGACUUUUCACUUUCCGACUGAAUCGGUCACAAAUGUGAAGACGAAAAAUUCCCGCAUUAUUUUUUCACUGCUUUAGUCGGAAUAACAGUUGAUAUUAUAUUAGAAAAAUAAGAAAUAAAAUUACAAUCAUUUUCUGACUACUUCAGUCGCAAAUUUUGUCGCAUUAGCGACUGCAUAAUAUUCAGUCGCAAAUUUCGGUCAGAAAAUAGCCAUUUUCCAGUAGUGGAAAAAGGCUCCGGGAAGUUGCUGAAGAUGACAUCACUGUCACGGAGGAAGAUGCAGACGGAUUAUUGCUACCGCAAAACGACGCAUGAGUAAUUUCGUUAAAUGUAUUAGAUUUUAAAAUCAGAUGUGUUCUAGAGUUCGGCCAAUAUUAUACAAUCGAAGGUAUUGGAACAAGCCAAACUUACCGGAAGCAUCAUUCCAGCCACGAAACUCCUCGCCAGGUUCAACCUCGCAAGCGUGACAAUCCAAGGAGAGAUUUUGCUGCCCAUAAAUACCGAGGGGGUGAUGAAGAAGACCCUUUUUGAGGUUGUGUAUGGUGAUAUGGUCUACAACAUUAUCAUGGGAAGGCCGUGGUUGCACGAGAUGAAGGUUUUACCAUCGACGUAUCAUCAGUUCGUGAAGUUCCCAACUCCCAAGGGGAUUAAAUAGAUAAAAGGCAAUCAGCCGACGGCAAAGGAAAUAAAUGCGAUUUCGGUCUCCAGUAGCAAAGGGAAGGACCAUGCGGCAUAGUAAUUACAAGACUCGGCGCCUGCUCCAGAAUAAAGUGAAGACAACCAGGGGGAAAAGGCAUAGGAAUCUUAUCAGGUGCCAAGAUAUUUCAAGGUACCAGAAGAAACGGACGAAACGAAGUUCACAGCGGAAGAGCUUGAGCAAGUCGCAUUGUUCGAAAAGUUCUUGGAGAGGAAAUUCCACUUGGGGACAGGACUGCACCCUGAGAUCAGGUCUGGGUUUAUUGAAUUUCUUAAAUUUAAUGCCGAUUGUUUUGUGUGGUCGCAUGCGGAUAUGAUAGGUAUCCCGAUGGAAGUGGUCGUACACAUGCUAAGCUUGGAUCCCAGCAUCCCUCCGGUAAGACAAAAGAAAGGUCCUAUUUCCAAGGCCAGAAAUAAAUUCGUCAAAGAAGAGGUAACUCGCCUACUCGACAUCGGUUUGAUCCGAGAGGUAAAAUAUUCGGACUGGCAAGCUAACAUAGUAGUAGUUCCUAAGAAGAACAAUAAACUUCGCAUGUGCAUAAAUUAUAAAGACUUGAAUAAGGCGUGCUCAGAGGACUCGUUCCCACUUCCAAACAUCGAUAAAAUGAUUGAUGCAACGGCCGGGCACAAGUUAAUGAGUUUCCUCUAUGCUUACUCUGGGUACAACCAAAUUAAGAUGAACCAAGAGGAUCAUAAAAAACUUCGUUCAUAACGAAUUUCGGCACAUAUUGCUAUAAUGGGAUGGCAUUCGGACUAAAGAACGCUGGAGCCACUUAUCAGUGGCUCGUAAACAAGAUGUUUGAAAAAUAGAUAGGAAAAACCAUGGAAGUUUAUAUAGAUGAUAUGCUUGUUAAGUCUUUGAAUGCAGGUGAUCAUCUUAAAUACUUGCAAGAAAUUUUUGACAUCCUGAGGAUGCAUAACAUGAAGCUUAACCCCGAGAAGUGCGCGUUCGGGGUCUGCUCUGGAAAGUACCUAGGAUUUAUGGUGUCUCAAAGGGGGAUUGAGAUUAACCCCGAUAAAAUCAAAGCCAUCGAAGAUAUCCCAAACCAGAUAUUAAGUGUAAAAGAGGUUCAAAGGCUUACAGUGAGAUUGGCCGCUUUGAGCAGGUUCAUUCCCCGGUCAUCAGAGAAAUUCCACCAUUUCUUUGCGCUACUCAAAAAGAAGAACGACUUCGAAUGGACCCCGGAAUGCCAGCAGGCAUUGAGGGAUUUGAAAAGGUACUUAUCAAGCCCUCCGUUACUAACAAAGCCGGAGGAAGGUAAAAAAUUAUUAAUAUACUAUCAGUCUCGAAGGUAGCGGUAAGCACAGUUUUAGUCUGUGAGGACGAAGGUACGCAAUCUCUCAUUUAUUACAUUAGUAGAAUUUUAACCGGAGCAGAAACUCGCUAUCCACAUUUGGAGAAGUUGGCCUUCGCCCUCGUAGUCGUCGCUUAAAAGGUAAGGCCUUAUUUCCAAUGUCACCCGAUAACGGUAGUGACUACCUUUCCCCUGUGGAAUAUCCUUCAUAAACCCGAACUUUCGGGUAGGCUGGUCAAGUGGGCCGUCAAAAUGAGUGAAUUUGACAUAUAACAUAAACCUAGGACUGGGAUGAAGUCAUAAGUUUUAGCCGAAUUUGUUGACGAUUUUAGUCUAGGAUUAUUACCUCUGGCUACCAAAGAAGCAGUGAUGGUGUCAGAAUCGACAUCAGGAGUUUGGACCCCUGUAUACGGACUGAGCUUCGAACGUAAAAGGGUCCGGGCUUGGCAUAGUACUGACCAUUCUUUUGGGAGAAACCCUAAGGCAGGCCAUAAGAACGGAUACUCUGACUAACAAUGAAGCGGAGUAUGAAGCUUUGAUUGCAGGACUCGAAUUGGACCGGGGACUAGAUUCCGAGGUCAUAAAAAUCAAAUGCAAUUCCCAGCUGGUGGUGAAUCAGGUCUAUGAGAACUUCGAAGCCAAAGAGAAACGCAUGCAACAAUACAUAGCGAAGGUUCAGGAAUUGCUUGCUCGGUUCCAGGAGUGGUCGAUUACACAUAUUCCAAGGGAGGAAAAUACGAAAGGGGGCGCAUUAGAUAACCUUGGCUCAUCAACGAAAAUGAAGGGAUCGAACUCCAGUACGAUCGUAAAGCUUAUGCACUCGGUUCUGGACACAGAUAACUAUUACGAGGUAAAUAUGACUAAUUUGGUCUGGGACUGGAGGAAUGGGAUCAUUGAUUACAUCGAGCACGGAAAGUUGCCUGAAGAUCCUAAGGCAUCCCGGGCGUUGCGUGCCAAAGCAGCAUGGUAUAGCUUCAAAGAAGGUCAAUUGUACAGGAAAUCUUUCCAAGGCCCGAUGGCUCGAUACUUGAGAGCCUCCGAAGCGAACUAUGUUAUGCGAGAAGUCCACGAAGGAAUCUUUGGAAAUCAUUCAGGCACAGAUUCCUUGGUACUAAAGUUGGUAAGGGUGGUAUAUUUCUUGCCCCGAAUGGAGCAAUACGCCAAAGCUUUUAGUCCAAAAUGCAACAAGUGCCAAUGCUACGCACCAUUGGUACAUCAACCAGCAGAACUAUUACACUCGGUUUUGUUACCAUGUUCGUUCAUGAAGUAGGGAAUGGAUAUCGUCGGACCACUGCCAUUGGCUCCUAGAAAGGUAAGGUUUCUUUUGAUUUAAACUGACUAUUUUUCUAAGUGGGUUGAAGUAGGUCUUUAUCAGAAGAUCGGUGAAUGUGAAGUGGUAGAUUUCUUGUGGGAGAACAUAAUUUGCAAAUUUGGAAUACCAAAAAAGAUAGCUUGCGACAACAGGCCAUAAUUUAUAGGCGCAAAAGUCACGAAGUUCCUUGAAGACUUGAAAAUCAGAAGGAUCACAUCUUUGCCCUAUCAUCCAAGCGGAAAUGGCCAAGCGGAGUCAACAAACAAAGUUAUUAUACAAAAUAUCAAAAAGAGAUUGGAAGCAGCUAAAGGCAGAUGGCCCGAAGAACUUCCUGGAGUACUAUGGGAGUACCGAACAAUGGCCAAAUCGAUCACAAGAGAGACUCCUUUUUCCUUUGUGUACGGAGCAGAAGCCCUGAUCCCGGUGGAGGUAGGGGAACCUACCCUGAGAUACUUUCAGGCAAAUAAAGAAGCAAACAACGAAACAAUGUUGAUCAAUUUGGAACUGCUCGAUGAAUGCAGGGACUUGGCACAUAUAAGGAUGGCAGCUCAAAAGCAAAGAAUAGAAAGAUAUUACAAUGGAAGAGCCAACCUCCGUUAUUUCAAAGUAGGAGACUUGGUUUUAAGGAAAGUAACUCAAAGCACCCGGGAACUCAAAGCAGGGAAGUUAGGUCCAACUUGGGAAGGCCCCUACCAGGUUUCAGCUAUCACCGGAAAAGGAUCGUACGAGUUGGAAAAUCAAGAUGGAGAAAAGAUACCAAGCAACUAGAAUGUGGCACACCUCAAGAGAUAUUAUUGCUGAUGAACAUCACCUGUACAGAAAGUAUGUGCUGCACUCUUUAUCCACUCGCCCAGUUUUUGUGCCAAUUGCAUUUUUUUGGCAAGGUUUGUAACGAGGCAGCAACGGAAAGCAUACUACGAAGAAAAGUUUCAACAGUAACAAUAAGACCUAAUAACAAGGCACACAAGCAAAGAACCACUCCGGAGCGGUAAGAUAAUCUUUUGCUCGGUAGCAAGGUUUCCACCGUGAAGUUAAGUUUGCUAUCGGGCAAAGGUUACCCGACCGUUUACAAGUGCAAGCCACUAGGGGAUUGUUAGAUAGCCUUUGGAUUGAAAGCUUAAAUUCCUAUGGGGAAGUGAAGUUUGUUACCAGACUAAAGAUUAUCUAGCAAUUCAUUAGUGGAAUCCUCGAAGGUGCAGAACUUUCAGUGUUCAAAUUCGCAUUUUUCGCAUUCGAACACUCGGGGGGGAUAAUAUGAGAAUACGACAACAGUGACUGCUACGUCGAUAGGAAUACAAAAAUCGGAAACAUAGUUGUAUCAUCAGGACCAGGGACUGCGCGGCCAUCCCCGUAGAAACAAGUUGUACAAGUAGCCACAAGAAAUGGCAAUUUCUUUAUUAACAUAACGAAUGCUUAUGUACUUUUUGAAAAUGGAAUGAAUAAAGUAAAGUCCUUUUAUUACUAUCUUGUUUCCUGUCUGAACGAUGAAUUGAUUUUUUCAUUUGAAAGUUAAACAAGUACUUCAAAUGAUAGUGUCGUAAUGAACAAACGAUGUCCUCUUCAAGAGCACUGUAAACAUAAGAUAGCCCUCUCUUAUGAAAAUUCUCACGAUAAAGGGUUGAUUUCGGAAGAACUGGUACCCGAAAUCCAAAUGCUUUCAGGGGAAAAUACACCCAAAGCCUUGCAUAAUCAGAUGCAAAUAGUAAACUUGCGCAAAACACUUAAGCAAGAAAGAACGCAAAGAUUAAAACUUGCAUAAAUGUUCAAACAAUAGAAACGCAGAAAGACUCAUGCAAUACUUGAGCAAAAGAUAUUUUUAUUUACAAUAAAUGUGCCAAAACGGGACAAGUACAAAAUUUGGGAAAAGAAAUGAAAAGUUAAGAUGCUGCAUCUCUGGAUCCCAGAGUAAGAGAAGUAUCUGUGCUCCUAGGGGAAAUGGGUAGAUCCGCCGCUGGCUCGAUAUCUUGACCUUCAUCAUUUUGGCCUUUAACAUCUUCGCCUUCCGACUCCUCUUCAGUUCCCGGGGACUCAAAACAGGAACUAGAAGAAUUGGGGGCAUCAGGCAUGACCGGAAGACUCCUUUUAGCAGCUAACUCCAGCUCACGGGCUUUAGCGAUUUUGGCAUCAAGUCGAUGACACUUUCUUUAGACUCUUCCAAGGUUUUUCUCCUUAUGAUGUACAUAACAUAUGUUGUUUCAACAACGAGGGAAGUCGCUCGAUGCUUGAGUUCUUCUUUAAGUUGGUCAACCUUGGCAGAAAGAUUUUCCCGUGCGAAUCUAACAAACUAGAGGCUAACAUCGAGAUCACAGACAGUAGAGCUGAAAAUUUUGUUAUGCUCAAUGGUCCUCUUAUGUUUCUCAUCCAAUUGGGCAUAUUUCACCCCGACAGUAGCAAGCUCUUAAGUUUUGGAGUUCAAGGCUGCCUCCAAAUUAUUUAAUCUUUCAGUGGAGGCAGCCUCGCAAUCGGAUGCAGUAGACAGGGCAUUAUGGACUUCAGCCCAUUUAGCCCAAGCCUCUUCAAAUUGAACCCCAUUGGGGCGAUAUCCUAGCUAAUGGCCUCUACUUCAUGCUAGCGUUACUGCAAACGAACCUCCAAUAUAAUGGCCUCAGCAGUUUUGGCUUCCAGUUCUGAUAGGCGAGCAGAAGUUUGGUCCCGCUCGGCCAAAAGUUGAUCCCACUCGGAGGUAAGUUCCUGCUUUUCUCGAAUCAACCUUUGGAGGCCCUCGGAAGCAAGGAAAUUGGCAUGCGAAACAAGAAAGGCAAACUCAAAUACUACUAAAUCAAAGAUAGAAGAAAUGACAAAGGAAAUAAAGAGUAUAGCGCUGUGGAGUUGUGCAUAGAAUUGUUCAACAAGCACUCUCCUAAGAGAGCCUGUAUCUUUUCCCAAUCAUUUUCUGAAGCCAAAGGCUUCAAAUAGUUAGCAAGUUCCACUGGUCGGGACAUCAUAUUGCACCCGGUAGAGACCGAGAGAGUAACUCUCCUCCUCCUUUGCGGAUUUUCUGAGGGGGCAGCAUAAUAUUUCCCCAAAUUCCCAUGAACCGGGGACUGGGGGAGAAGAACAUCCUCUUCUCGGAUGGAUGCAGCCGGUGGAGAUGAUGUAGUAGUUGCUGGUGGGAGAGUAGGUGAAGAAGGAGAUGAAGCUGAUGGCGUUGAAGGAUUAGAAGUGGUUGCGGCAAGUGUUGUGCUAGGUGUUGGUUACUCGUCAACCAAAAACGGCAGGGACCCGGGGGCAGCCCCACAAUACCGGGUGCAGCGAGUGGGAUCUGGAAACGGGAGUUGGCAUUUUCCACCAUCUCAAAUUCUCCCUAGAACGUUGAGGCAUCGUCCUCAGUUGGUGAAACUAACUCAAAAGAUUGAGCAGUCUGUUGAGCUGAGGAAGGUCGUCGUCUUUUGUGUAGAGAAGCCCUCUCCUCGCUGGAUUCUCCAUCAUCGUCAAUCAUCACGGUAUCUAUGGUCGGUCCCGGCGGAGGGCUUGUCACCACGACUUCCGGAGAUGACUCGGGGGAGGCAUUCUUCGCCCUCUUAUUCGUUCCCCUAGCCACGGAGGAACGCCAUCUUUUUGGUUGCUUGUUCUCCGGCUGGGGACUCUGAGAAGAAGCACUCGCACCAGAAUCAGGCCUGGAGAUGCCUGUUCGAGUAAACGCCUCCUGAAGCAGUCUCGCCGCAUCAACAUGAUCAGCCAAAACGUCCUCCUCGGGGACGACAACUGAGCCCUAGGGUAGACCUGAAUUCAGCAAAGAGAGAAAGGAUUAAAUAAUUUCCUCACACAAAAAGCAAAGACGAGACGAGUCUAAGUUAUCAUGAUUUUUGGCCUGCCACCCGUAUUUAAGGGCCAGUUCUUUCCACGUGUGGGUUUCGAGCGUAGUGACGUCCAAGAUUUUCUGGACCCACUGGUCCAAGCCUUCAACCCUAGGUGGUACCCAUUGAGUUGCUGAAAUAGGCGAAAGAAGGAGGAUCAAUAAUGACAUGAGAUGAUCUCUAAUGAAAGAAAGAUUAAACAAGGAACUUACGAGUGCGGUUCCAUGAUUCCGGAAAGGAUGAAGUCAUUGCCGGAAUGAUAUAAUUUUUGGCAAUUGCAACGAACCAUUACAUCUACCCACAGUCGUUAUCAUCAUUCGUGGUAGAUAGUAGAGCAUGGUGAACACGUUUGCUGAGAUUCACCAUUCCCCCGCGGAAGAUCUUGGGGGGAAUAGAGGUUCAUCAUAUGAGCUAGGGAUAACUCCUCUCCCAUUUCUUGGCACAAGCGCCGAAGACAAGCAAUCGUCUUCCAUACGGAAGGACUUGUGCCAAACACACCUAGUAGCGGAGGCAGGACUCCAUGAUGACGGAGUCAAGCUCUCCACUUAGAGAAAGUGCCCCUAAAGUGAAGAGAUAAGUAUAGAAAUACAUAAAACGCUUCUUGGGUAAGGUUACCCACUCCGCCAGAUCAAGAGCGAUAAUGUCUAAAUCUUGGCAAAGAAAAUCUUUCUUCACAUCAGGAAUACUGGAAGAACGGAUGGAAGAAGGGUAUCUGCCAACGGCCCAUGUACGUGGGUUAGCGGAAGGAAACUUUUCUUCGCAGUCAUUAAUUGUGACGAGACUUCUGGGAAUGCUGGUACUUACUGUAGGAGGAGUAGCCUCAUCGGCUUUGCCUUUGUUCUCUGAGGAACUAAGGUUUUUAGAAAAAGAAAUCAUUCUAUGUUAGAGAAGAAGGAAAAUAUUUUCUCUUAUGAAGAAAUGAAGAACAUAGUACGAGUUGAAUGAAGAGAGUUUGAAGAAUUAUGAGGUGUGAUUGUGAAUGAAGGAGUUUGAUGCAUAUAAGUGAAGAAAUAUGCGACAAAAAUUAUGGCCAUAAUUACCUCGAUAACAGGCAAAACUAAUGCUAAAUCAUGGGAUGACGCGUGUUCGGAGAAUUAAAUAUAGAGAGACGUGCGUCUAAUCAACCGUCAGAAACUUUUUAGAGGGGGUCAGUAAAUUUUCCACCAAAAAAAAUGUCUCUACCAACUUGUCGAUGACACAAAGUUAUACCAUCAGAAAGCAGGGGGACUAUCUGUAUGGGGUAAAACAUGUUAUAUUAAAUGAUCGCAUGAGAAAGUGACACGUGGAGUCGAAGAUAGAGGAUAGCAGAAACCGAAGGCAACGAUCUCGUCUGUUACCGGAAAGAAUAAUACUCACAAAGAUGAAAAAAAUAUUUGUCACCCGGUAGCAUUUAAUUAAUGAAGAAUACUCUACAACAUUUAGUCUACUGCCCGUUACAAAAGAAUAUGGCAUUCAUGCCUGCCGUUACACACUCUUCAAUGACACUCAUAAUUGGUAUUAAAAAGGGGCUUGAUCCUAGGACCAUGUUCCCUAGGUACAACUAUAAAUAGUGAGCUCUACUAUCAUUGUAAGGGAUACGAAUUUUCUGGCAAACUUACGCUACAGUACUCUAUUCAAAGCUUAAUAUAAUCUUAUCUUCUUGCUUUUUUAUUUUAUUGUUGUUGUGCCCGGAAGCCCUGUUCCCGGAACUAUUAUUUCUGCUAUUUCGUCUCCAUCUCAAGGCUUUUCAUGAUUAAAUUAAUUCACUUGUCUAGAAACUACUUAUAAAUUUAACUGUACCGUUUUACGGAUAAACAGUUAUUGCUUCCACCACCAGAGCCACCACCACUACCACUACCACCAUGCAAUCCUCCACCAGUUCCAGUACCAGCACUUCCUAAAUACCAAUUCCCCGCCAAAUAAACCACAGCCACCGUCGCCUGAGCCACCUACACUGAGCAACCGCCUACGCAUAAACCAUGCUGAGAUACCCAUUAUAAUACUUUAAUGUGCACCAGAAAUAUUUAAGAAAAAAAGAGUACUGAAAAUUAAAGAAUAAAGAACAUUGACCAAAUAAGCAAAAUGUAGGGGUUAGCGUCGGUCGGUUCGGUCGGUUAUUAUGAAAGUACGGUUCGGUUUAUCGAUUUUCGAUUUUGUAAUCUUAAUAACCAAAUCAAACCAAAGUAUUUACAGUUCGGUGUAGUUUUUUCAAGGUUCGGUUCAGUUAUUUCCGGUUUAUCUGUUAUUAACAGUUCAAGAUUUUUAUAUCUUAGAUUUACUUUCAGCGGUCAUAAACUUCCAGUCCAGUAGUUAUUCUUUCACUGUUUUGGUCAUAAACUUUCGGUUCUUUCACUGUUGUUCCGUGUAAACUUUCAGUUCUGGUGCCAGAACAACUACAAGUUCUCUUUUCAAUUACAAGUGAUAAUAACUAGAUAAGUACAAAAAGGGUCCGACUCAUAAGAUUGAGUUUUGCUAUAUAUACAGUGGAAAAGGCUCCAACACAAAAACUGAGCAUUAUUGUGACUCAUGAACUUUACCAUCAAAGCAAAUCUAAGAUGUAUACAUAGUUCAAAUGAGAAGUCUGCAGAGACUGUUAACAAACAAUGUCCACCCUGGCCUUAGCAAUCUCCAAUUGUCCAUGUCAAAAAGCAGCUAGACCAUCUACUGAUCUAAAAUGAUAAAAAUGAAGCAAUCAAGUAAUCUCCAGAAAAUAAAAAUAAAAAUUGAUACCUUUAUUUUCAAUUAUGGAAUUCAUGGAUGCCUAAAAAGUGAACAUUGGAUAUGGAAAUAUGGAACUCAAAAGAAGGAGGUAACCAAUAACCUGAGGAAGAAAAAUGAGCGACGAGCUGAGGAAGAAGGCGUCACAGCAGUCAGCAGUCGGGCGUCGGCAACAGCAGUCGCACAGAGGUGAGAAGACUAGAGGAGGAACUCUAAUUUUUGAUUUCUAAGGAAGGGAAUAACUUAAGUCACUAAGUGAGUAAGUCUUAGGUUAGGCUUCAGAUGGGUUUUGGUAAAUUGGGUGGGUUUCAGAUGGGUAUUGGACUAUUGUGCUUCAGAUGGUUAAUAAGUUUUGGACUCUCAAAAGAAACCAUAUGUUCAAACCUAUUUUUCUCAACUAAUACCCAAAAUUUCGAUUUUUCGGUUUAACCGAAAACCGAAACACCAAAAUCGUAAACCGUACCGAAAAACCAAAAUUUAAUAAUUUAAAAACCGUGCACCGACCGAAUAACCGAUUAAACCGAAACCGAAAAACCGAAAUUCACUGUUCGGCCAGUUUUUUCGAUUCCGCCGGUAUUAUGCCCACCCUAGCAAAAUGCCCUUGAGGUGUGAGAAUUAAUGCACUUCUCCGGGCAAAUAUAUAUAGUGUUAAGUAGGCCAUUUCAUUUUCAGUAGUCGACUAACAUGAACAUUUUAAUAUUGACCAUGUGUUAGUAGGUGUCAAAUAAUUAUACAAUUAUGUGUCUAUUAUUUUAAUAUAGAUUUCUUCAACACUAAUAUAUGAAUCCGUGUGCAGUUAGUUUAUGAUUUAUAAAUAGCAAUCAAGAAUCAUCCAGAUUCCAGGUAUCAUAAUAAGAAAUAUACAUAAAAAUAUAUGCUUGCAUAGACAUAGUGGCUUCCCACGAACUAUGCAACUAACUAUUUAUAUAUUUGCCAGCAAUUUGCAUUUGUAAAUAAGAUGGUUUCGUGAAGAUUAUGAUUAAAUUCAACGAUUCAUCAUUCUUAAGAGUUCAAAAAAAACAAAUCGUAGUUAAGGGAUAAUUACACCUUGAAUGUCCUUAAGGAUGUAAAUUUCUGGGGGAGGGGUACCUGAAAAAUAUCGAGUUAGUAUAAAACUCAAUAAGUUUCAUAGCCACGCAAAUAUAAUGAUACAUUUAAGACCAUAAAUUUCAAAAGUCUUCUUAUCUUUCUUAAAUUUUGUGUCAAGUCAAAUUAUGUCACCUUAAUUAAAACGGAGAAAGUAUUAUGAUGAUGUGGUCCAUCAAUGUGUACACCAAGUUAAAACUAAUCGUCUCACCCUUAAUUAUUCUUCAAUAAUAAUGUAUUUGGAUACUUACGAAGAUAACUAUGAUCAACAUAUGCCUUUUAACACACAACAUGGAAGAUAAAGAAGUCAUCUAAAAUACCAUUUCAGCAGUAUUUUGUACUCUAAUUGCUGUACUUUAUUCGUGUUUGAGCUUAAAUAAUAAUGAUUUGCACUUAUUACAUGUUUUAUGCCUUGCAAGAUAUGAUUCCAAGUUAAGAAGAUAAUCUGAAGCUAAAUCGAAUAAUUUAUAGCUUUAAAGUCUAUGUAAAAGCUCUAGGAAUUUAACCGAGAUCGCGUUCGGGGGUCGAAUGAAGUAAUGAACAAGUCUGGAUAACUUAUAUAGCAUACAAGUUUGAGUUUAUGCCCUCUUCUCUCAAAUUAUGUUUCUUGUAGAGGUCUUUAGUUUAGUCAUCUUCGGCACUUUAUUUGUUCUUUUUUCUCUGCUUUACCAAUAAAAUAUUUUAUUUCUAUUCAUGCAUGCUUAAUUCCAUAAGAUCUUUUGUAAUGAUCCCCUUAAUUUCUUAAUGAUUCCUAAGCAAUAUAAAAUUAUCUGCCAACUAUUAGGGAAGAAAUCUCAUAUUGUUUUAUCAGUUUAUAAAACUCACAAUGGUGCGAAUAUUUCAAACUUCCUAAAACAUUCUUAAUUAAAAUGUCACUGUGAGUUGAAAGUGAAUAAAAAAGAGGCCAUUUUAACACUAUAUAUACUUGAUUAGAGAGAUGCAUUUCUCAUUCCAUUUCUUCUUAUUCUUCUUAAAUAUUCUUGGUGCAAAUUAAAGUUACAAUAUAAUGAGGUUCUCAGCUCGUUUUCUUGGAGUUGUUCUCUUAAUUGUUCUUGUCAGUGGCAUUAUGGUUUCUGCUGACAUGUUUACUAGCAGGCGCAUGCUUGGUGCUGGUGGCUCAGGUGGCGGCGGCGGCGGUUUAUUUGGCGGAGGAAUGGGUGCUGGUGCAAGUAAUGAACAUUUAGGAAGUGGUGGUACUGGAAUUGGUGGAGGAUUGCUUGGUGGUGGUGGUCAUGGCUCUGGUGGUGGAGACUAAUUAAUUAAUUUACCUUAAUUAUCUUAAUUAAUUGCAAAAGAAGUUAUGUGGAUUAUUGUUUUUGCUGUUAUAAGUGAAGUUUGUAUUUGGACAUGGUGUGCGGAACAUUAUUUGCCGUGUCUCUAUACUCGGCUACUUGUUUGGAUUUAUGGUGUAAUUAUUUUUAUGGUUUCUCGCAAAAGAACUUCAUGUUAUAUUCGUUCCUUUACAUACUGUAUCAUUUUUAUGUAUACGAUUUUUAAACAAGAUUGUUGCUUUUGCAGUUUCUAACUCUUUUGUUUUUUUGGGGUAAGUUUGUGUUUGGGGUGUUUUUUUGGAUUGACUCUUUGUUUCUUGGAUUUUGAUUCAUUAAAUUAAAGAACAACUUCUUGAUUUAUUAAAUCUUUCACAUAUUGUAUCAUUUAUAUGUAUUUUUGUGAUUCUUUCUUUUCAACCAGCUUUCAGUAUCAGUUGUAUUUACCUAUUUUAAAUGUUACUCAAUUGAUGAUGUGCAAAUCUGGAGAGGUUCAAUGUCAAACAACUUAGAUAACAGCCUUAUCCAACUUUAUAAUUAUGAAAGUGAAAUAACAGGAUAAAAACAACAGAAAGAGUAGAAAAGCAAAAGAAGAGAGAAUCUAACACACUUGAAAAGCUACAUUUUUAUUAUUAUGGUUGGAUAAUACAAUAGCCCACAAGCUUUACAUGCAAGAUGUAAAGAAACUUUAAGGAACAAAACCACUUUAAUGUAUCGGAUACAAAUACAAACUCUUGUUUAAGUAGUACUCCCAUUUUUAACAAGUUUCACAAAAGAAUAACUACAGAAGUACAUAAUAUCUUGAUCACUUUCUUAGCUUAUAUAUGCAAGAAGAUGGUACUGAUCGAUGAUCAAUGCUUACCACCACCAAUGCCUCCUCCACCACCAAAGCCACCACCACCUCCACCUCCUAAACCGCCACCUCCGCCAACGCCUCCACCAGCUCCAAACCCUCCUCCAGCACCACCACCACCACCAAUGCCACCACCUCCACCACCACCAAAGCCUCCGCCUCCACCUCCACCUAAACCACCUCCAGCACCUCCACCUGCGCCAAAACCACCACCUGCACCUCCACCUAUGCCUCCUCCUCCACCAGCUCCACCACCACCACCAAAUCCACCACCUCCACCAAGUCCUCCUCCAGCUCCACCGCCAACACCACCACCAGCUCCGCCACCUACUCCA
Molecule: long non-coding RNA, 41873 nt
Filed under: Nicotiana tabacum (common tobacco)
Lineage: Eukaryota; Viridiplantae; Streptophyta; Magnoliopsida; Solanales; Solanaceae
Description: long non-coding RNA (NTAB_LNC000113)
Source: RNAcentral